Molecule: ribosomal RNA, 119 nt
Filed under: Pteropus vampyrus (large flying fox)
Lineage: Eukaryota; Metazoa; Chordata; Mammalia; Chiroptera; Pteropodidae
Source: RNAcentral
GUUCAUGGUCAUGCCACCCUGAACACGCCUGAUCCCGUCUGAUCUCGGAAGCUAAGCAGGGUCAGGCCCGGUUAGUCCUUGGGUGGGAGACCACCUAGGAAGACCAGGUGCUGUAGGCA